This is a long non-coding RNA of Thalassophryne amazonica, 2002 nucleotides long. RefSeq lists it as uncharacterized. Lineage: Eukaryota; Metazoa; Chordata; Actinopteri; Batrachoidiformes; Batrachoididae. The record is from RefSeq and is a predicted model, not a curated record. The transcript has 2 exons.
UGCGUAUUGUACAUAAACGGUGACGAUACGAAGUUAAAGCUUACUGCGGGCAACAAACAAUCCCUAGGAAACAGCAUUUGCAUGCCUCAAGUCCCACAUUUCGUAAGUUAAACAAAAACUGGCAACUGCCAGUUAUUUUUCACUAACGCUGUACCUGCAGAACAUGAGUAUGACCCCAAACAAACAAUUUGACACUUUACAGUACAAGGACCUCAAACAAAGGAGGUUCCAUAGUUGGUUGGAUGACUCAAACAUGAGUGGUCAUUUUGAGUUUGUGCCAAACUUCUAAUCUGGUAAACAUUAUUCAACUUGAGGAGGAUCUGUUAGCAGGCACAUGCCCAUAAAUAGUCCUGGGGUUUAAGUUAAAUCAAUGACUCCAUGACCUCCAGGUUACUCAAAAACAAUAAAGGCUUGUAAUUCAGGUUAAAAGGAUAAAAAGUGAGGAUAAACUGGCUAAAAUUCAUUUAAUUUGGGUCGAUCCAAAGGCAAGUUUGUUUUGCUUAUUUCAUGAACUCGAUACUUGUCACUUGUGCAUUUCAUGGCUUGUUGCACACAUGCAAUAUGGAAAUUAGGAGCAGAUGCUUUUAGGUUAUGUAUCAAAGUUACAUGGGGCUUGAAAUGAGCUCCUCAUCAAAGCAGCGGUAGCCUUGGUGGACACCAGACCUAGGGUUGGAAAAUUAAACUCAAUAAACCAGUUUUAGCUUACGUGCAACUUCAACCACAUCUUAUAAUGUCCAUCAUGCAUAUGAUGAGUCUCUGCAACACACACGUCCACAAGGUGGUACAUAUGAUAUGGUAAUGUCACAUCCGUAAAACCUGCGAUGGACUGGCAGCCUGUCCAGGGUGUACCAGGCCCCUUGUGCAAUAACUGCUGGAAAUAGGCUCCAGCUCCCCAUGACUGUUAAUUGGAAUAAGCGGGUUUAGAAAAUGGAUGGACAAUCAAAACACACUGCUGUUUGUAUCAAUCUGGUGCAUGGAGUUUGGCCAAACUUUAACGCAUUUAUCCUCAAUAUUUUAUUUUGAAACUUAAAAGAUGAAAUCUUUUUGAAAUUUUUGACUUAUGUUUACUUGUAAUCUAAAAGACGCAUGCCUGGGCUUUAACAGGGGCAGUCAGAGCAAGGUAAUUUUCAAAAAGUUAAUUCUUGAAGAAAAUGCAAUAAGUUUAAGUUUACUAAAUUAGCCACUUUGCUAUAAACAUAUUUUCAAUAAAUUUGGUAAAACAUUUUUUUAAGCAACAGGUAAUGAUGAUAAUUAUGUUAUUUAUAAAGCGUUUUCAAGACAAAAAAAAAAUCAUAAUGCUGCAUAAGCAAAACUGAAAAAUAAAAAAUAUUUGGACAAUUCCAUUUGGAACCUGCUCUGCAUUAAAAAGUGCAAAGCUCGAAAAAAAACUUUUUAAAAUGAUUUUAUAAAUUUGUGAAAUUUGAACAUUUAACAUAAAAUUACAUAAAUUUCCAAGGCACCUAAAACCAUUCAUACUUUUCCAUAUACAUGGUCAAAGAAUUAUUUGAUGAUCACAAGAAGGUAAAAUUUGAUGUUGCAUUUGGUCAUGAGUGAAUUGUUUGCAAUCAACACCUCCAAAAAUAAAUAGAUAAAUAUCUGGCCACACCUCCCAAAACAACCAUUUCUGAUGCUGCAGUUGCUACAAACUACAAUUAACAACCAACACCUUUACCAUAACUAGUUUAGAGAAACAAACAUUUCACAAAACGUGCUUGGAAUGACAUGCUGUACACAGAUUUUACACUUCAUUGCACAUUUCUUCAAAACCUCUCACAAGAACAAUCGUUGUCCUUGCCAGGUGAUACACACAAGACUGACUAUUUACUGGAGCGCCAAAGUUUUGGGGACAUUUUUGUGCAAAUUUUUACAUGCAGUUCAGGUUGGACCUCAAAUUGCUUUUAUCAUUUUUUUUUUUUUAAGUGUCAAGCUCCAAAUGUGAAAAUCUUCCUUUUGUAAUUUUAAAUAUUUACAUUUUGCUUACUUUUUUUUUUGUUGCAAAGAC